UCCGGCUUAUCACCGGCAGUCCCUCUAGAGUGCCCAACUAAAUGAUGGCAACUGAAGAUGAGGGUUGCGCUCGUUGCGGGACUUAACCCAACAUCUCACGACACGAGCUGACGACAGCCAUGCAGCACCUGUGUGGGAGCCAGCCGAACUGAAGGGUCACAUCUCUGCGACCCACACUCCCCAUGUCAAGGGCUGGUAAGGUUCUUCGCGUUGCAUCGAAUUAAGCCACAUACUCCACCGCUUGUGCAGGCCCCCGUCAAUUUCUUUGAGUUUUAAUCUUGCGACCGUACUCCCCAGGCGGGAUGCUUAAUGCGUUAGCUGCGCCACUGACGAGUUAACCCGCCAACGGCUAGCAUCCAUCGUUUACGGCGUGGACUAC
This 379-nucleotide unclassified non-coding RNA is filed under the name uncultured Alphaproteobacteria bacterium. RNAcentral describes it as "contains 16S-23S intergenic spacer region". The record is from RNAcentral. Lineage: Bacteria; Pseudomonadati; Pseudomonadota; Alphaproteobacteria.